UAUCAACUUUCGAUUGUAAGAUAGAGGCUUACAAUGGUCUUAACGGGUAACGGGGAAUUAGGGUUCGACUCCGGAGAGGGAGCCUGAGAAACGGCUACCACAUCCAAGGAAGGCAGCAGGCGCGCAAAUUACCCAAUCCCGAUACGGGGAGGUAGUGACAAUAAAUACUGAUACGGGGCUCUUUCGGGUCUCGUAAUUGGAAUGAGUACAAUCUAAAUCCCUUAACGAGGAACAAUUGGAGGGCAAGUCUGGUGCCAGCAGCCGCGGUAAUUCCAGCUCCAAUAGCGUAUAUUAAAGUUGUUGCCGUUAAAAAGCUCGUAGUUGAACCUUGGACCUGGCCGAUCUGUCCUCCUAAUCGAGCGCACGGAUUCGGUCGGGUCUUUCCUUCUGGGGAGCCCUAUGCCCUUCACUGGGUGUAGUGGGGAACCAGGACUUUUACCUUGAAAAAAUUAGAGUGUUCAAAGCAGGCCUUUGCUCGAAUACAUUAGCAUGGAAUAAUAGAAUAGGACAUCGGUUCUAUUUUGUUGGUUUCUAGGACCGCUGUAAUGAUUAAUAGGGAUAGUCGGGGGCGUCUGUAUUCAAUUGUCAGAGGUGAAAUUCUUGGAUUUAUUGAAGACAAACUACUGCGAAAGCAUUCGCCAAGGAUGUUUUCAUUAAUCAGUGAACGAAAGUUAGGGGAUCGAAGACGAUCAGAUACCGUCGUAGUCUUAACCAUAAACUAUGCCGACUAGGGAUCGGACGGUGGUUUUUUUAUGCCCCGUUCGGCACCUUACGAGAAAUC
RNAcentral lists this ribosomal RNA (781 nucleotides) under Melanoctona tectonae. RNAcentral describes it as "SSU rRNA". It matches the Rfam family "Eukaryotic small subunit ribosomal RNA", at positions 313 to 1099 of the family's 1831-position model. Lineage: Eukaryota; Fungi; Ascomycota; Eurotiomycetes; Chaetothyriales; Herpotrichiellaceae. The record is from RNAcentral.